GGAGGAUUGUGCAAGUUAUUUAUAAAGCAUUUUUGCUCGAUACCUAGUUGAUGUGGGACUUAAAACACCCCUGUGUGCCUAGGAUUGAUUAUCUGGAUUGUAAGGUUUGCAGUACUGGACAUCUGUGAGUGGCCCAAUAUUGAGACCGGGGUUGGCUGUGAUAUAAUGAUAAAAAUCCUAACUCCAUCCCAGAAGGCAUCUUGUGGGAGGAGAAUUGCCCAAGUCAUAUAUAAAGCAUUUUUGCUCAAUAUCUAGUCGAUGUGGGACUUAAUAGUUUUCAAUUUUGUUUUAUGUAAAGCCUUGCUUUGGAGGCUCUAUAUUUGUUUUUUGUUUAGAGUAGUUUGAGCUUGAGGUCUUUGAUGGCAAUAGUUAUGAUCAAGAGAUAUAUGCUUAAUUACAACAAGUUUGUCCGAUAUCCAACGAGGACAUCACAUUAUGCUGGCGUGUAUCAUCUGUGCUCUAGGCAGCUAAUAUGAAUUGUCUGCAAUACUAACCUGUAUAUUACAUGAUACCAUACUGGUUCCUACUUCUCUUUUGUGUUUUAUCCAGUGAUUAGUCUUGAGUAUUGUUGUCAUUGAUCUGUCAGAAGACAAUGGUCAUAAUGGUUUUUUUUCAAUAAUGAAAAAAUUUUACGGUGUGUAAU
Molecule: unclassified non-coding RNA, 643 nt
Filed under: Hevea brasiliensis (rubber tree)
Lineage: Eukaryota; Viridiplantae; Streptophyta; Magnoliopsida; Malpighiales; Euphorbiaceae
Source: RNAcentral